UAGGUUGAAGCUCGCUGGUUUGGGCGCCUAGCUGUUAACUAGGAGUGCGUGGGAUCGAGGCCCAUCAAUCUAG
Molecule: transfer RNA, 73 nt
Filed under: Lophornis magnificus (frilled coquette)
Lineage: Eukaryota; Metazoa; Chordata; Aves; Apodiformes; Trochilidae
Description: tRNA-Asn
Source: RNAcentral